This 439-nucleotide ribosomal RNA is filed under the name uncultured bacterium. RNAcentral describes it as "partial 16S ribosomal RNA". It matches the Rfam family "Bacterial small subunit ribosomal RNA", at positions 339 to 795 of the family's 1533-position model. The record is from RNAcentral.
CUACGGGUGGCAGCAGUGGGGAAUAUUGCACAAUGGAGGAAACUCUGAUGCAGCAACGCCGCGUGGAGGAUGACACUUUUCGGAGCGUAAACUCCUUUUAUAUAGGAAGAAGAUGACGGUACUAUAUGAAUAAGCGCCGGCUAACUCCGUGCCAGCAGCCGCGGUACUACGGAGGGCGCAAGCGUUACUCGGAAUCACUGGGCGUAAAGAGCGCGUAGGCGGAUUAAAAAGUCAGAAGUGAAAUCCUAUAGCUUAACUAUAGAACUGCUUCUGAAACUCUUAAUCUAGAAUAUGGGAGAAGUAGAUGGAAUUUCUGGUGUAGGGGUAAAAACCGUAGAGAUCAGAAGGAAUACCGAUUGCGAAGGCGAUCUACUAGAACAUUAUUGACGCUGAGACGCGAAAGCGUGGGGAGCAAACAGGAUUAGAUACCCCAGUAGUC